Molecule: long non-coding RNA, 309 nt
Filed under: Salmo salar (Atlantic salmon)
Lineage: Eukaryota; Metazoa; Chordata; Actinopteri; Salmoniformes; Salmonidae
Description: lncRNA (ENSSSAG00000104449.1)
Source: RNAcentral
UGGGUCACAGGCAGCUCCCCUCAGUCCCGGGUCGCAAGAGGUUGUCGGAUACUCUGGUCCGCACCCCGGUGUCGGAUCCUCUGGGCCGCACCCCGGUGUCGGAUCCUCCGACGGCCCUGACCCAGGAUUCACCAGGCUGGGGAGACAUGAUGGAUGCCUGGCCCUGGGCACAGGCACAGGACUCACCAGGCUGGGGAGACCCACUGAAGGCCUGGUCCUGGGAGGUGGCACAGGAUGAACCAGGAUGGGGAGACCCACUGAAGGCCUGGUCCUGGGAGGUGGCACAGGAUGAACCAGGAUGGGGAGACC